GGGAAUGGUCGGGAUAGCUCAGUUGGUAAGAGCAGAGGUUACUGAAAUCUCUAU
This 54-nucleotide transfer RNA is filed under the name Rumex maritimus. RNAcentral describes it as "partial tRNA-Phe". The record is from RNAcentral. Lineage: Eukaryota; Viridiplantae; Streptophyta; Magnoliopsida; Caryophyllales; Polygonaceae.